Molecule: RNA transcript, 6939 nt
Organism: Zootoca vivipara (common lizard)
Lineage: Eukaryota; Metazoa; Chordata; Lepidosauria; Squamata; Lacertidae
Gene: FMNL3
Gene name: formin like 3
Source: RefSeq, a predicted model, not a curated record
CAGCGAGGGAGGGACUGGUGGGAGGCAGCCGCCGCCGCCUGGCCACGGCGGCUCCGUACUCUCGACGGGCACCCAAGGAGGGCUCUGCCGUCCCCGCCUCCCCGGGAGCCGCCGGGGAUGGGGAACGCCGAGAGCGGGGAGCCCGGCGGGGGCUCCGGGCUCCUGCCGCCCCCGCCGGGGAAAGUGCCCAUGCCGGACCAGGGGGAGCUGGAGGAGAGAUUCGCGAUGGUGCUGAGCUCCAUGAACCUCCCUCCUGACAAGGCUCGUCUCCUCCGACAAUAUGACAACGAGAAGAAAUGGGACCUCAUUUGCGACCAGGAACGAUUUCAGGUGAAGAACCCACCCCACACAUACAUUCAGAAACUGAAGAGCUUCCUUGACCCUGGAGUCACCCGGAAGAAGUUCCGCCGGAGGGUGCAGGAAUCCACCAAAGUGCUGAGGGAGCUGGAGAUCUCUCUAAGGACCAACCACAUUGGGUGGGUGCGCGAGUUUCUCAAUGACGAAAACAAAGGCCUGGACGUGCUGGUGGAUUAUCUCUCCUUUGCUCAGUGUGCGGUGAUGUUUGAUUUUGAGGGCCUGGAAAGUGGUGAGGAUGGAGCGCUGGAAAAGCUGAAAUCCUGGAGCAGGUCCAUAGAGGAUCUGCAGCACCCCAGCACCCUGUCUGCACCCUACGCCAACAGCCUUGCUCGCUCUGCGCGGCAGUCUGCUCUCCGAUACACCACCCUUCCCAGCAGGAAAGCCCUGAAGAACUCACGGCUGGUUAGCCAGAAGGAUGACGUCCACGUUUGCAUCCUGUGCUUACGAGCCAUUAUGAACUACCAGUAUGGAUUCAAUUUGGUCAUGUCUCAUCCUCACGCUGUCAAUGAGAUUGCCCUCAGCUUGAACAAUAAGAACCCCAGGACAAAAGCCCUGGUAUUAGAACUGCUGGCAGCUGUUUGUCUGGUGCGUGGUGGCCAUGAGAUCAUUUUGGCUGCUUUUGAGAAUUUCAAGGAGGUUUGCAAAGAGCAGCAUCGCUUUGAGAAGCUGAUGGAGUAUUUCCGCAACGAGGACAGCAAUAUUGACUUCAUGGUGGCCUGUAUGCAGUUCAUCAACAUCGUGGUGCACUCUGUUGAGGACAUGAACUUCCGUGUGCACCUACAAUAUGAGUUCACCAAACUAGGUCUGGAAGAGUUCUUACAGAAGUCGAGACACACGGAAAGCGAAAAGUUGCAAGUGCAGAUCCAGGCUUACCUGGACAACGUAUUUGACGUAGGAGGGCUGCUGGAGGAUGCCGAGACCAAGAACGUAGCGUUGGAGAAAGUGGAGGAGUUGGAAGAACAUUUAUCACAUUUGACAGAAAAGCUUCUGGAUCUGGAGAAUGAAAACAUAAUGCGGGUGGCAGAGCUGGAGAAACAGCUGCUACAGCGGGAGAAGGAGUUGGAGAUUGUCAAGGAAACCUACGAAAGUGCCAGCAACCAGGUCCACACCCUGCGCAGAAUCAUCAAGGAGAAGGAGGAGGCUUUCCGACGCCACUAUACCUCUCGCCCAACAGGGGGAGACCACCUGCCGCUGCCGCCACCUUCAGGGGCGGAGGUCAACUUCAGCCACAUCCCCGAGGAUGACCUCUGCCUCCCGGUCCUGCCUCCCAUGGAGGCUGCCCCUCCACCCCCGCCCCCUCCUCCGCCUCUCCCCCCACCCCCUCCUCCGCUACCCGAUAAGUGUCCGCCAGCUCCACCACUUCCGGGGACAUCACCCUCUAUGAUUCUCACUAUGGGCUUAUCAGCUAUCCGGAUUAAGAAACCCAUCAAGACGAAAUUCCGCUUGCCGGUCUUUAACUGGACGGCCUUGAAGCCCAACCAGAUCAGCGGCACAGUCUUCAGUGAGCUGGAUGAUGAAAGGAUCUUGGAGGACCUUGAUCUAGACAAGUUUGAGGAGCUCUUUAAGACCAAAGCCCAAGGCCCGGCCAUUGACCUCCUCUGCUCUAAGAACAAGGCAUCCCAUAAGGCAGCCAACAAGGUCACCCUGCUGGAAGCCAACCGGGCCAAGAACCUUGCCAUCACCUUGCGCAAAGCAGGGAGGAGCACAGAGGAGAUAUGCAAAGCCAUUCACACGUUUGACCUGAAGACUCUCCCGGUGGACUUUGUCGAGUGCCUCAUGCGCUUCUUGCCGACGGAGAACGAGGUCAAGCUGCUGCGCCAGUAUGAGAAGGAGCGGAAGCCGCUGGAGGAGCUGUCAGACGAGGACCGCUUUAUGCUGCACUUCAGCAAGGUGGAGCGCCUGACGCAGCGCAUGGCCAUCAUGGCCUUCCUGGGCAACUUCAGUGAGAACAUCCAGAUGCUCAUGCCGCAACUGAGUGCAAUCAUUGCUGCCUCUGCAUCUGUCAAGUCUUCACAGAAGCUCAAACGCAUGUUGGAGAUCAUCCUUGCCCUUGGCAACUACAUGAACAGCAGCAAACGUGGUUCAGUUUAUGGUUUUAAGCUGCAGAGUCUUGAUUUGCUGUUGGACACCAAGUCGACAGACCGGAAGCUAACCCUCUUGCACUUCAUUGCCAUGAUGGUGAAGGAGAAAUACCCGGAGCUGAGCACCUUCUGGCAGGAAUUGCACUUCGUGGAGAAAGCGGCUGCAGUAUCCCUGGAGAAUGUGCUGCUGGAUGUAAAGGAGCUGGGGCGUGGGAUGGAGCUGAUCCGGCGGGAGUGCAGCUUGCGUGACCAUAGCAUCCUGCGCAGCUUCCUGAACGCCAAUGAGGGCAAGUUGGACCGGCUACAGAAAGACGCUAAGACUGCGGAGGAGGCCUACAACACGGUUGUGCGCUAUUUCGGCGAGAGCCCCAAGACGACACCGCCGUCCGUUUUCUUCCCGGUCUUUGCACGCUUCAUCCGAUCCUACAAGGAUGCAGAGCAAGACAACGAGAUGCGUAAGAAGCAGGAACAGGCCCAAAGAGAGCAGGCGCUGGCCCAAGAAGCCAAGAGGCUGGAGAAGUUGCCUUUGCAGCGCAACAAGUGGCAGCAGCAAGAGUUGAUUGCUGAGCUGAGGCGGCGCCAAGCCAAGGACCACCGGCCUGUUUAUGAAGGCAAAGAUGGGACCAUUGAGGAUAUUAUCACCGUGUUGAAGAGCGUCCCCUUCACUGCCCGCACAGCGAAGCGGGGGUCUCGCUUUUUCUGCGAGCCAUCCCACCAUGACGAGCCUAACUGUUAGCUCCACCCUCUCCCUCGUCAAAGCAGCAAGAACCAUCUGCCUCUAGUCCCCUCUCAAUUCAUCCGCAGCAGAGGAGCUCUGCAUAUCCUGCCUUUCCAAUGGGCUGAUGCUGCAUUCCCAACAGCCCAGGCCUAGUUCUUUUUUUGCCAAAGAAAAAAAAACUUCCAUCCUUUCAAACAUUUUAAGCUGAAGAACCAAAGGGACAUUUAGGAAGUGCCUUACUGCGACAGUAUUAUUGUUAUUCUCUUUAUUAUUUAAGGUGUAUUUUUUAAUCUGUACAUAUAUGGCCCUUCCCAUAAGCCCUUGCUCCUCCUGUCCCCUCGCUGAGCCAGCUCUGGACAAGGACAAGACUGUUUUGGUUGUUUAGAAAUGCCUUUGGCCAGCAGGUGUCUGACUUUCCCCCUUCAGCCCUUUGAGCAUCCGGACCAAAAUUGCACUUUGACUGAAUUGAGGACAUCAUCAUGGCUGGAGUCACAAUGCAAUGUGGGAGUGUGGGAUGUUUUCUUUUGGGGGGGGGGCGGGGGGAAUAUUUCCAUUAGUAGACCUUUGUGUAUGGCACUGGUUUUGUGGACCAGCAUCGUUUUUCUAGAGCAGUCUUCAGCAAUACUGUGGUCUUCUUGGAGCAGCAGUCUAUUGAGCUGGCACCGAAGAGUUUAAAAGCUAGGCUUCGAUGGCCUUUCGAAAAACCACUGGAAUCCUUCUUCAAAAGGGGAAACCUUCAGACCAAAAGUCUCAUGUCUCAACUGCACAAAGUGACCCUGGUGUUCGCACAGCAGAGAAACGACGGCGAUGAGCCAACCAUUGAUUAUCAAAAGAAAGAUCUUAGGUAGGUUACAGGCAGCUUUUGGUGCUGCCCAGUUUUUAAUUUUUUUAGUUUUCUUAUUCUCAUUAUUUUCCAGAGGACCAAAUUAUGCUUCCAGUUCAUGUAUGGGGUUUUAGAUACAGCUCUCUUCUCAUUUACUGGACCAAAUGCCUUAAUUCUCACCAGGGUCAAAUCUAGCUCGCUUGCUAUGUCCUCUUGAACCCCUCAGAACAAGUACCAAUGGUUAUGUAUGAAUGUUGCAUCUUUCAGAACCUUUCUUAUUUCUUAUUUCCCAACUGUGUCUUCUUAAUGGAUCUUUCUUAUUUCCCAACUGUGUCUUUUUAAUGUACCAAAAUCCGUUCAUAAAUAUGUAUUUUAUCUCAGUGUAUGCAUUUCUAAAUGCAUGUCUUUCUAAAAUACGCCUUUUUGACGCAUUCUGGUACAUUGUUUGACCUGAGAAUUUUUAUUGCAAAAUACAGAGGACAAUUAUGUUCUGAAUCGUGUUAUUUGUCCAGGGUGGCUGCAUGGGAACUUCGUUGAUUCCCGUAAAAGGGGGACAGAACAAAACUCUCCUCCAUCCCUAAGGCCAGCCCCCCUACAUUUGCAUACCUGCAGUAAAAUCACCAAAUUGUAGCCUGGGAAUCAUCCUCAAGAAGUUAACUGCUGCCUAGCAGGUAACAAAGAUAGCAAGUGAGAUAUUAGCAUGCAGGAGGGAGCCAUUUUGUAGCCAUUAAUUCCUCACGGUCAAAAUGGCACCCCUCUCUACUUCCCACUAAGUAUCAUGGAGCAGAACCCAUCAGCGAACAUUUCAUUGAAAUAAAUGGAAUGAGCUCACUUCAUAUCAGUGAGACUUUCAGCAAACAACUUUCCAGUCAAUGUUACCUCAUGAGGGUGCCAGGAAUCAGCCGCCUCUGGUGCCUGACUCAUCGUACUAAAUGGCAGGUAGACCACUUUUGGCCCUUGCACUAUGAUGGCCAAUUGCUGCCUUCCUCUCUGAACCUCAGCCUGUUUCCAGGCCAUGAUGUUUCUUAAGACAAUCGGAAAAAGAGGACCCGCUUUAUCUCCUCUUAACCUGCUUUAAUGUUUUCCCCCGACCAAAGAUGUUAGUCCAGAAGUUAUUAGAGCUGCAGAUAGCAUUAGGAUAAAGCCAUUCGACAAUGAAAGCAGGAUUGCUUCUUCAGUUGUUUUUAAUUCAGGGAAUCAACUUUACUCCCUUGGGGGUUUAGCCACUUUCUGGAACCAGGAAGCAAUUAUAGCUUUAUGUGAAAGAGGUUUAUUUAUCUUAAUACACCAAAGAGCUCUUUAGAUAGGGCUGGCUCCAGCAGAGCUUACGAAUAUGAAGUUGUCCUUUUUCCUGUAUUUGAAUAUUCAUCCACAUUUCUUUCCAAGGCCGACCCAGGUGAGUCCUGUUGAUCUUUUGAUCCCAGGCUCCAAAGCAUGGCCAACUACUCACAAGAGCAUUUGCACAGCAGAAUGCUCCUAUGUGACUUUGGCCCCAUAAGUCUGUGGAGAGAUAAUUGCGAUUUCAGAACACGUGCCAAGGCCCUGUGGCAUCCAAUUACCUAGACAAUGGAAGGAAUCAACCACUUGAUCAGGAAGGACUCAGCAAAUCCUUCUGUUUGGGCACACCUGUGAAAAGCAGCGAUGCUUGGUGUUCUAGAGUGUUAGUCAUGGCAGAAGCAUCUCCCUGCAUUAACCAUCUGUAUAUAAACCGUGCCAAAGACUCUCAGGGUAACUCUUGCAGGGAAUCCAGUGCUUAUGGCUGAGCUAUUGUGUCCUGGGGAAAAUUGGCUCUGUGGUUUGGGCCUAGCACCCCUGCUAGGUUUGCGCCUGUGGAUUUAAAUCCUGCCCAAAGGCAACCUGAGGCCUGUAUUUUAGAUGAGACCUCUAGGAGCCUAAAGCCUGCACUUUGUAAGGUUCCAGGUUCAGGCCUCUCCCUCUCUGCCUGAGACCUUAGAAAGCCACUGCCAGUCAGAGCGAACAUUACUAGGCUAGAUGGACUGAUGCAGUGUAAGGCAGGUGAAACUCGGAGAAUUAGAAUAUCGUCAAAAAGUGCAUUUAUUUCAGUAAGGCAACUUAAUUUUAAUUUUUACAAAUGCUUUCUUUUGGAAAUUCCACAGUAAUAAAACAAACAGUUACAAUAAUAAAAACAAAACAAAAAUAAACAUCGCUAUUACAUUUCAUUAAUUCCAUUCCAUUUAUAAUUGACCCGCCUAACAACAAAUAAUUACAACAAAUAAAGGCUUGACAUAUCUUGCUUUGCAUGUCAUGCAUCUAUCUCAUAUAUUGGUUUCACUUUUUAAGUUGCCUUGCUGAAAUAAAUGCACUUUUUGAUGAUAUUCUAAUUUUCCGAGUUUCACCUGUAUGUUCAUCCUGUGCAUGGUAACUCAGAUGUAAAGCCAUUGAAGUCAAUGGUGCUUACUCCUACCGGUAGUUAAGGAAGCCUUAGAGCAGGCAUCCCCAAACUUCGGCCCUCCAGAUGUUUUGGACUACAAUUCCCAUCUUCCCCGGCCACUGGUCCUGUUAGCCAGGGAUCAUGGGAGUUGUAGGCCAAAACAUCUGGAGGGCCGCAGUUUGGGGGUGCCUGCCUUAGAGCAAGGCUCCAUCACUUUGCUGGGGUGCAGCAGAGCAGAAUGGGUUGUAAAUUUUGGAGCUCUGUGGAACAGCAAAUUAUUCUGCCAAAAGAACUGCCAGGUCCUAGACUGACUCAUUUCUUUUUCUUUUUGGUCAUUGUAUGCUGGAUAUAUUUUGCCUUUUGUUUCUGUCCUGUGAAUAUGAAGGUCUGACGUUAUUCAAACCAUUUGUGGGUGAGGUGGAGAAAUCAGUGGCCAGGUUUGGGAACCCAGGUAUUCCAAAGAAGCCAACCCCCACCCCCACUGCAAAAUCUAGCAGCCAUAUCCACCUCAACAUACUUUGCAUAUCAACUACCAUCUUCACUUCCGUCAAAAAUACAGCUGCCUCUA